CUGCGGGGCUGCGGAGGCUGUCAGGGCUGCAAUAUCCUUCUUCUGGGCUGAGACAGCCAACUGUGACCCUCUGCUUGCCCCCUGCCCCCAUUUCAUCAGGCCCACCACUGUACCACCAAAAAGAAAAGCAAUAUGGUUUUCUGCCAGCAUCCCCUUUAUGGCCUACUUUUACAGCAUUUCACUGUCUCCUUUUACAGCCAUGAUAAGUAAGAUCUGAACUGUGUCCAAACACGAGUAUGAAGACAGGCCCUCCUUGGAAGAUAAGAUAGCAGAGAGAAAGUCAGAGAGACAUAAUCAAGGAAGGGCCUGAAAAUGUCCGGCCUUCAUUCACAGAGUCCUGCUAAGAAACCACCUCCCACCUGCUUAUGAAUGGCUGAAUCUGAAGGGAUGCAGCCAGCUUAAUAGCUAAUAUUAUUUACAAAAUAAGAGAGGAAAACAUCCUUUGAUAUGUUUUGUUGAAUGUGCGCACGGUGACUUGUAGGAAGCUCUAGAAGAUGUGAGAGGAGGUGGCACAGGGACUUUGGAGACACGAUGAGGGUGAAUGACCGUCUGGAGGUUGGUUCCCUCUUAUGAUAAAACUCAGCUAUCAAAUGACAGUGCAGCUUUAACAGACAAACUGAAGACCUUGUUGCAUUUGGAGAUAUUAAAACCCAAAUAAAACAGAUAUUUUCCCACCUACUCCCCACCCCCACCCCCCACCAGCAAGUCAUCUUUUUUUUUUUUUUUUUUUUUUUUUUCCAAAGUCGUAAGAGGCACAAACAGGUAGCAAGAAGGCAUGAGUGAAGUGUUCCCCGCCGAGCACGCUCUUUUGGCUUGGUGAGUGGUCUUCCUCCGUUCAGGUGAUGACAGUGGGGCCCCUCCGGCCAGUUCGCUCGUGAAUCUGGGAUAUUUUCAGCGCGAUGGCUAUGAGAGGGCUCAGCACUGCCUGGAAAAGGAAGAAGAAAGUCUGUGAAUAACUCGGGUGAGUCACAGGAGGGCCA
RNAcentral lists this long non-coding RNA (980 nucleotides) under Sus scrofa (pig). Its description in RNAcentral is "lncRNA (ENSSSCG00045034490.1)". The record is from RNAcentral. Lineage: Eukaryota; Metazoa; Chordata; Mammalia; Artiodactyla; Suidae.